GGCAGGGUGCUGGACUGGCCUGAGCAUUUAGAAGGUCCUAGAGGAAAGUGGCCUUGAUUUGCCUUUGCCAUUCUUUAAUCACUAUUUUUUUUCCCAAGUGACUUCCUUGUAGGAAGGUUGGAGCAUAUGUAGGCUUUCCCUUGCCUUUAGCUUUGACUCCUAUUCAUCAAUCUUUAUUUAUUACAAUCUGUAACUUUGGAUGAUGUAACUUACAGAGCUCUCUUCAUAAUAAUCCACCCAGCACCUGACAAUGUCUUUCCACCCAUUCUUUCUGGUCUAGCCCCUUUAAAGAAUUCCUGUUUUCAGAUUCCUCCUCCCCCACCUCAGUGGGUGUAAAUCUGGAACCAGGGAAGAGAGUUGCCAAGAGACUAGACCAAGAUUUAAAAACAAAACCAAGCAGAUUCCCCAGGCCAGUCAUCAGGCCAUGAUUAAAAUCUGUUCCUCACUGAUGAUCAGUCCCAUGAUUUGAAACACCAGUUGAAGUGCUACACGGGAAUUAAUGCAUUUACAAUGUAAAGAAGUACUCAUCCAGGGACGUGAAACUAUUUUCUGUGUGCAGUACCAAAGGAAAGCCUAUAUGGAUAUCUCAUGGUACCUCAGACUCCGAGACACUGAAGUAUUUCAAAGCUUCUCAGAGAUGCCCAGAGAAAAUCCUUAAUGCAGAACUAAAGGAAAGUUAAUCUGAAUUCCAAGCAUUCCAGAUGUAACAGAAAGAAGGCAUGCUUCUGAAUCAGAGAGUCCUAGGGCUUCCAACAGUAUGCUGAAUGGAAGUAGAAAAAGUGAGUUUUCCAGCUGACCUGAACAAAGGGGAGCUCAUGGACCCCAGACUGAUAGCUGGGAAACCAGCAUAGGACUGACCGAGACCCCCUGAACAUUGGUGUCAGUGAGUAGGCCUGGGCAAUCUAUGAGGCCUCCGGUAGUGGAUCAGUAUUUAUCCCUAGUACACGAAUGGACUUUGGGAGCCCACUCCACAUAGAGCUCUCUCAGCCUAGACACAGGGGGGAGGGCCUAUGCCCUGCUCCAAAUGAUAUGACAGACUUUGAAGAUUCCCCAAUGGAAGGCCUCACCCUCCCUGUGGAGCAGAAAAGGGGAUGGGAUAGUGGGUUGAUG
Molecule: long non-coding RNA, 1110 nt
Filed under: Cricetulus griseus (Chinese hamster)
Lineage: Eukaryota; Metazoa; Chordata; Mammalia; Rodentia; Cricetidae
Description: lncRNA (ENSCGRG00015042978.1)
Source: RNAcentral